GGGGAUGUAUAGUUUCGAUAGAAUUGCUCUUUAAAAACUGCAAGCCGUUAAGGAAACAUUAAACGUAUAAAUAUUGUUUCAAAAUACAAACGCCAAUCUUUUUGGUGUUUUCAAUAAGCAACCAGCAUACGCUGUAGCUUAAAGAUGUUUUAGGGUAGCUUCAAGACGUAUCCUUAAGAUAAGUACCAAGUCUUGAUGCAGCUUCUGAUAUCUAAUCCAUAAUCAUAAGCCAAGCUUGUUGGAUUAAGUAUUAACCUUCCUGUUUAUGGGUUACAAGUUAAUACUCAAAAAAUACAUAAACUAAGCUUGUAGAAGUUUUUUAAGAAUCUUUUCUAGACGGGGGUGCAAAACCCCCCAUCUCCACCC
This 366-nucleotide transfer-messenger RNA is filed under the name Candidatus Daviesbacteria bacterium. It matches the Rfam family "transfer-messenger RNA". From Rfam's summary of the family: Bacterial tmRNA, also known as 10Sa RNA or SsrA, is named for its dual tRNA and mRNA-like properties. Its role is to liberate the mRNA from a stalled ribosome. Lineage: Bacteria; Candidatus Daviesiibacteriota. The record is from RNAcentral.